AUGGGGGAUGUGCAUGGAUGUGUUUGGUGUGUGCGUGUCUCUGGUGUGUGGCACGGGGGAUGUGCAUGUGGGCAUGGGGGAUGUGCAUGGGUAUGUGUGUGUGGUAUGGGGGAUGAGUGUGUAUGCGUGUGGUGCAUGUGGCACACGGGAUGUGCAUGUGGGCACGGGGGAUGUGCAUGGGUGUGUGUGUGUGUGUGUAUGGUGUGUGCGUGUCCGUGGUGUGUGUGUGGCGCGGGGAUAUGUGUGGGUGAGUAUGGUGUGUGUGUGUGUCCGUGGUGCGUGUGUGGCACGAGGGAUGUGCGUCGGUGUGUAUGGUAUGUGCAUGGCUCUGGUGUGUGUGGCACGGGGAUGUGCAUGGGUGUGUAUGGUGUGUGUGUGUGUGUCUCUGGUGCAUGUGUGGCACGGGGAUGUGCGUGGGUGAGUAUGGUGCGUGGGCAUUCCAGUUUUAGACUGAAUCCCAGCAGACCAGCCAUUGUUCACCCUCGUUCCCUUCACUGCCCUCCCAGAUGACACUCCCUGUGCAUCUGAUUCCGCAGAGUGGGCUGGUGGUUUUCGGAUAGUCAUUCCUGAAGGACCCUGUAGCCCAUGGUCAAUGCCUCAAACACUGAAGCCCUCGCCAGGGAGCAUAUUGGCUGCUCCCCACCACACCUGCAGCACUCCUGCAACUGGGCCAGAGAAACUGGUUUUACUGGGAGCUUGGGGGCUGGGAUCAGGCAGUGGGAGGCGCCCAAAGCCCUGAGAUCCAAAUUCUCCUUUUGGAGCCAUCAAUGCAAGUCCAUGGAGUUGAAGCAAGCAGAAUUUGGAUCCCAGGGUUAAUUGGAGGGAAAGGGAUGGGUUUGGAACGGAAAUGACAUACAACGAAUGUACCUAGAUUGGAAGCUCUUUGGGGCAGGGCCUAUCUCUUUGUUCUGUGUUUGUCCAGCACCUGGCGCCAUGGGGACCUGAUCCAUGACUCCAGGGCUCAUAGGCACUAUGCAGUACAGAUAGUAGAAAUAACAGGGCCUAAUUCCGAGCUUACUUAUUCCGGCGUAAAUCAGGAGUCAGUGAAGCCACAUAUAGGUGUCAAUCCGGUGUGAGAUCAGGUGUCAAUCCGGUGUGAGAUCAGAAUCUAAAUCUUGAAGAAAACAGAGUCACACAAGAGACUAAACUCUCGCCAAGUGUGAGCUGAAGCCCUGAAGUCAACUGAAAGGUUACCACUGAUUUCACUGGGCUUCAGAUCGGGCCCUGGAACAGCAGAGCAGCCAGAGAUAGGAGGAAAUCAUUUUGAUUUCUCUCUGCGAAGCUGUCGUUGAGAAAUUCGAAAGCAGGGCUGCUCCUUUGCGUUCUGAGCAGAGCUGUGUCAGAGAGAGAGAGAGAGAGAAAGUGUGUGUGUGUGUGUGUGUGUGUGUUUGUGUAUGUUUAAAGAAGCAGCCUUUGUUGUCCGUACUCGGCCGGUAGGUGGCAUCAAAGUUUGGUCGACUUGUUGCAGCUUUUUAACCUUGUCUCUUUUUAAACACGUUGGUUGGAAUAAAAGGAUUUGUCUGUUGCUAGCCCCUCUCGUU
This 1541-nucleotide long non-coding RNA is filed under the name Chrysemys picta bellii (western painted turtle). RNAcentral describes it as "lncRNA (ENSCPBG00000007968.1)". Lineage: Eukaryota; Metazoa; Chordata; Testudines; Emydidae. The record is from RNAcentral.